Long non-coding RNA from Harpia harpyja (harpy eagle), 760 nucleotides. RefSeq lists it as uncharacterized. The record is from RefSeq and is a predicted model, not a curated record. NCBI's taxonomy places the organism in Eukaryota, Metazoa, Chordata, Aves, Accipitriformes, Accipitridae. The transcript has 3 exons.
ACGACCCCAGGUGACGCCGUCCCCACACCAUGACCCUCCCGCGCCUGGCCCUGCUCCUGGCCCUGCUCCUGGCCCCCGGUCCCCGGCCCCCCACUGCCGGCGUCCCCCAGGACCCCCCCGCGACGCCGUCCCCACCAGCGCCCGACCUUGCGCCCAGCACACCGGCCGCUGCCGUCGCUUCUGCUUCGCCCACGAGACCCAGCGGGGACAUUUCGGUUGUCCCCCGGCGCUACCGGUGCUGCGUGCCCAAAAUGUAGCGGCGGGAUGGAAGUGACGAUGCUGGGGGCCGUCCCGCAUCCUUCCCCGGCGGGGUCAUCUCCCUUGGGAUUUUCCCAAUAUUGGCUGGAUUGCACCCGUUUUGGGAGGAUUUUAUUUGGCAGCAGCACGUGGACGUGAGGUCGCUGUCACUGUCGGGAUGCCACAACCUGUCCCCUAAGGAGCAGAAUAAACCCCCCCCCUGAGAUUUGAGUGCUUUUUCCCAUGGGAAUACGGGGCAAAACUCAGCCUCAACCAGGAAAGUGACGAAAACGGGAUUAAAAAAUGGGGACCAGCUGCUCUCAGUGGUACCUUCUGCUUUUUUGCUGCUACCAGGUGAAAAAUGCCGAUUUUUGGUGAUGCAGCGGCAUUUCGGGUGAUGUGCCGGCAUCCCCCCAGCCAACCCGCAGCAGAUCCUCCACCCCCGCCCAGGUUGCCAACAACAUCUAUCUGAUGGGUGAUUAAAAAGCCAAGCGUUAAUCAAAUAAAAGCUAUGCGAUGCCGA